Molecule: non-coding RNA, 364 nt
Organism: Pelobates cultripes (western spadefoot toad)
Lineage: Eukaryota; Metazoa; Chordata; Amphibia; Anura; Pelobatidae
Source: the annotation of a GenBank genome assembly
UGUCAUUACGCAAAACUGCCAACUACCAACAAGUAGAGCAUUUGACUACCUUCUGUAUUUGACAAAAAUUUUAUUUCUACUUAUAUGCUAAUGUGUCAGACCCCGUGCAAAAUAAGACAGCCUAUAUAAUGUCUAAAAACAAAUUUGUCCCCAAUAUUUCUGUAAAAAGAGAACAUAUAAAAAUAUACAAUGAUAUAGUUUUAAAAGGGACACUGAAGGCACCCAGACCACUUCAGCUCAUUGAAGUGGUCUGGGUACAGUGUCCCCAGUCUACCAGACAGCAACUAUAUACUACACAAUAUAUAUACUACCUAUUUUUUCAUGACACAAAAAGAAGUAAUCAAAGGUGUUAAUUUCCACAGCC